Molecule: ribosomal RNA, 274 nt
Filed under: uncultured bacterium
Lineage: Bacteria
Description: partial 16S ribosomal RNA
Rfam family: Bacterial small subunit ribosomal RNA
Source: RNAcentral
AUACGGAGGGUGCAAGCGUUACUCGGAAUCACUGGGCGUAAAGCGCGCGCAGGCGGCUAUUUAAGUUGGAUGUGAAAGCCUACGGCUCAACCGUAGAACUGCAUCCAAAACUAUUUAGCUAGAGUGUGGGAGAGGAAGAUGGAAUUAGUUGUGUAGGGGUAAAAUCCGUAGAGAUAACUAGGAAUACCAAAAGCGAAGGCAAUCUUCUGGAACACUACUGACGCUGAGGCGCGAAAGCGUGGGGAGCAAACUGGAUUAGAAACCCCAGUAGUCC